CUUGGGGCAGGGUGUCCCUCAGCCUGGAUUGCGAGAGGGCGCAGGCCAGGCCGAGGGACUCACUGGUGCACG
This is a non-coding RNA of Myotis davidii, 72 nucleotides long. NCBI's taxonomy places the organism in Eukaryota, Metazoa, Chordata, Mammalia, Chiroptera, Vespertilionidae. The record is from Rfam.